GGAGGUGCUGAGAACCUGAGUUUCGGCAAGCAGCCAGGUCUGGAAACUGUGAGUGUGUGGGCUUUUCUCCGACGUCGAGCGUGGUCCUAGCGUAAACAGAUGCAUUCGCCUCUCCGGUUUCAAUCUUUUUUUUCGUUUGCGCUUUCCUCAAGGCCGGUGGGUCAGGAGUGGAGCCUUAGUCAUUCUAACGCUGGAGGUGUCAGUAGGACCAACAGAGUCUGGUGCCGACACGGCUUACUGUUGCGCGCUCUUCUAGGCCUCAACUUCCUCUCAACUGUGUGGUCAGUUCAGGGCCGGGAAUCCAAUCUUUUCCGAGCUCCAUAUUUUAUCCACUUGGUGGCGUCCAGUCCCAAGUCCGGCAGUUGAAUUCUGCCCUAAAGAUGGGCUUUAUUUCUAUCUUUUUUUAGGUAACAGGACAUUCAGUUAGUAAUGAUGGUUGCAGGUUGAAUAGUCUCGCCCUAGAUCUCACCUAACUUGCAGAAUAUUUUAAAAAUGACUACACCAAACAAGACACCUCCUGGUGCUGACCCCAAGCAGUUGGAAAGGACUGGAACAGUACGGGAAAUUGGGUCACAAGCUGUUUGGUCACUCUCAUCUUGCAAACCAGGAUUUGGAGUGGAUCAGUUACGAGAUGACAAUCUAGAAACUUAUUGGCAAUCAGAUGGUUCCCAGCCUCAUUUAGUGAACAUCCAAUUCAGGUAAUUAAUACAUUUUCAAAUUUUUCAUCUACUGUAGGUUAUAGACAAAUAAAUCUAUUUUAUUAACAUAAAAAUUAAAGAUAGAAAUUACAAUGAAAUACACUUAACUUUUUAAAC
Molecule: small RNA, 815 nt
Filed under: Pan troglodytes (chimpanzee)
Lineage: Eukaryota; Metazoa; Chordata; Mammalia; Primates; Hominidae
Description: retained intron
Source: RNAcentral